GUACUCNAGUGGCGAACGGGUGAGUAACACGUGGGCAAUCUGCCCUGCACACCGGGAUAAGCCUGGGAAACUGGGUCUAAUACCGGAUAGGACCACUUGGCGCAUGCCUUGUGGUGGAAAACUUUUGCGGUGUGGGAUGGGCCCGCGGCCUAUCAGCUUGUUGGUGGGGUGACGGCCUACCAAGGCGACGACGGGUAGCCGGCCUGAGAGGGUGUCCGGCCACACUGGGACUGAGAUACGGCCCAGACUCCUACGGGAGGCAGCAGUGGGGAAUAUUGCACAAUGGGCGCAAGCCUGAUGCAGCGACGCCGCGUGGGGGAUGACGGCCUUUCGGGUUGUAAACCUCUUUCACCAUCGACGAAGGUCCGGGUUUUCUCGGAUUGACGGUAGGUGGAGAAGAAGCACCGGCCAACUACGUGCCAGCAGCCGCGGUAAUACGUAGGGUGCGAGCGUUGUCCGGAAUUACUGGGCGUAAAGAGCUCGUAGGUGGUUUGUCGCGUUGUUCGUGAAAUCUCACGGCUUAACUGUGAGCGUGCGGGCGAUACGGGCAGACUAGAGUACUGCAGGGGAGACUGGAAUUCCUGGUGUAGCGGUGGAAUGCGCAGAUAUCAGGAGGAACACCGGUGGCGAAGGCGGGUCUCUGGGCAGUAACUGACGCUGAGGAGCGAAAGCGUGGGGAGCGAACAGGAUUAGAUACCCUGGUAGUCCACGCCGUAAACGGUGGGUACUAGGUGUGGGUUUCCUUCCUUGGGAUCCGUGCCGUAGCUAACGCAUUAAGUACCCCGCCUGGGGAGUACGGCCGCAAGGCUAAAACUCAAAGGAAUUGACGGGGGCCCGCACAAGCGGCGGAGCAUGUGGAUUAAUUCGAUGCAACGCGAAGAACCUUACCUGGGUUUGACAUGCACAGGACGCGUCUAGAGAUAGGCGUUCCCUUGUGGCCUGUGUGCAGGUGGUGCAUGGCUGUCGUCAGCUCGUGUCGUGAGAUGUUGGGUUAAGUCCCGCAACGAGCGCAACCCUUGUCUCAUGUUGCCAGCGGGUAAUGCCGGGGACUCGUGAGAGACUGCCGGGGUCAACUCGGAGGAAGGUGGGGAUGACGUCAAGUCAUCAUGCCCCUUAUGUCCAGGGCUUCACACAUGCUACAAUGGCCGGUACAAAGGGCUGCGAUGCCGCGAGGUUAAGCGAAUCCUUUUAAAGCCGGUCUCAGUUCGGAUCGGGGUCUGCAACUCGACCCCGUGAAGUCGGAGUCGCUAGUAAUCGCAGAUCAGCAACGCUGCGGUGAAUACGUUCCCGGGCCUUGUACACACCGCCCGUCACGUCAUGAAAGUCGGUAACACC
RNAcentral lists this ribosomal RNA (1335 nucleotides) under Mycobacterium sp. DWMJ-1168A5. RNAcentral describes it as "bacterial SSU rRNA". It matches the Rfam family "Bacterial small subunit ribosomal RNA", at positions 87 to 1421 of the family's 1533-position model. The record is from RNAcentral. Lineage: Bacteria; Bacillati; Actinomycetota; Actinomycetes; Mycobacteriales; Mycobacteriaceae.